Molecule: long non-coding RNA, 1806 nt
Filed under: Anas platyrhynchos platyrhynchos (common mallard)
Lineage: Eukaryota; Metazoa; Chordata; Aves; Anseriformes; Anatidae
Description: lncRNA (ENSAPLG00000017329.1)
Source: RNAcentral
AGCAACUUCAUCUGCAGGUGGAGACCCUCUUUGAGGCCAUGAGGUGAAAUUAAGGAAUCAGCCCCAUGGCCUGAUGCAGAAGCACUUGGACUGGUGGCUUGCGGCAGUGUGACAGCACCAGAGACAUCCUGGCUGGCCAGAGUUUUGUUACAAGCUGGCACCGAGGCGUGUUUGUCCCCAGCAAGAGAACAAGUAGGACCUGGGCUCUGUAGCAACAGAUGCUUUAGGUGGGAGGGAGCCCAAGACUUUGGCACAUAGCAGGAGGGUUUUGGGCGCUCGUCCUCAGCUGCAGGAGAGGAGGAGGGGGGUUGCAGAGGGGAAGGCUUGGCAGCAGACGGGAGGGAGAGAUUCUCUCCCUCACAGGCUGGGAAAGAGGGCUUAAGCAUCAGGUUGCCUGGCAAUGGGUUUCUAGGCAUCAGAAAUUGCUCUGAUCUGUUCACAUAGUGCGCUAGCUCAGAACAAAGCCCAUCUCUGUCCCUUUAAAGAUGGGGAGGAGCUGCAGGAUCGAGAUAUAUCACCUGGCAACAGGAUGCUGCCUCUCCUCCCUCUCCUCUGCACCAGGUUUUGCUCUUGGGAUGCUCCAGUGUGUGCCAGGCUCAGCCAAACACUUGGAGUCCCUCCGGCCUGAGGGGGAAAGCAAGGAUGAUGGGGGCUGGAGAAGGGGCAGAAGCUACCCUGGUGAAGCUUGCGCCGUGCAAGAAGGAGCAGCGGGAUGCCAGGAAGCCGAAGUGGCGAAUCAUCGCUUUCAAACAGCACUAAUGGGAGAGCAGGGGAGAGCUUGUUUGCGUUCAGACAACGGGAGCUAAUUUCCAGUGGCGGCAAGCGCCUGUCAGCCUCGCAGAAAUGUUCAGCCUGUUUGGAAAUGGUGAGAUAAUCCCCACAGCAUCCCAGUGCGGAGAGAAAGAAGGGCAGGAUUAGACCUUUAUCUGUGCCAUAGCAGCAGGAUAUGGCCUCCAAAGAGCUUUCACCUCUGUCAACUAACCCCUAGCUAUGGUGUGGGAUCCAAAAGCCCUGUUUUCAAGCCUACGUUUGAAUGAAGUAAGGGGGGGGGAGGUUUCUAGCCCUACUGGGGCAAGUCCAUGGAGGGAUGAGAUCAGCUUGUGAGGGAUGAGCAACCACUUUGCGUGGCAAAUGGCAGGUUCAGAGGUGGAAGGAAGGAAAUGGGAGAGAGGGGCAGGAGGUGGAGACACCAGGCACAGAUGCCCAGCUACACUCAGGUAGGAUGCAGACCUUAAAAGCUGAUGAUACCUUUACCACCCCCUUGCAGAUGUCCUGAAUAAUCCAAAUACCAGCAGUGGCACUGGGCACCAGUGUUCCAGCAGCUGGAUGAAGCCCACCUUGCUUGAGACCACACUGAAACAGAACACGACAAAGAUCCUGUGUCUCCUGAAUGCAUAUUAAUGCAGCCAUUAAGGGUUGCAUAGUCAAAAGACUGGGCAAAUUUAUGGGCAGAAACAUCCAUCCAGGACUGCUGAAUGUAAAAGCUCUUUCUCAGAAAGUCUGUGAAUUAUAGUUCACUGGGGGCUGAACAACUGUUUUGGAAAGAAUCAUUCCACACUUACAUUUUCUUUUUACAUUGUCUCUUGACACCUGCUGCUGGCCACACUUGGCAGCAGGGCACUGAGCUGGAGCGACCUUCUGUUUGACCUGCGAUAGCCAUCCUUAUCCUUUAAGUCCCAUCAUCUCUCUAAUUGCUGCAUCAUUAAUAUAAGCAAUGUCUCUUCUGAUAAUUUGCUUCUACCCACACCUCCCAUCCAUGUAGCAAAGCAUGGGAUCUGCAAGCUUUGCCAUCAGCCUGUACAAGUC